AUUGAACGCUGGCGGCAGGCUUAACACAUGCAAGUCGAGCGGAGACUUCGGUCUUAGCGGCGAACGGGUGAGUAAUACCUAGGAAUCUGCCUAUUAGGUGGGGGAUAACGAAUCGAAAGGUUCGCUAAUACCGCAUACGUCCUACGGGAGAAAGGGGGGGAUCUUCGGACCUCUCGCUAAUAGAUGAGCCUAGGCCGGAUUAGCUAGUUGGUAGGGUAAAGGCCUACCAAGGCGACGAUCUGUAGCUGGUCUGAGAGGAUGGCCAGCCACACUGGAACUGAGACACGGUCCAGACUCCUACGGGAGGCAGCAGUGGGGAAUAUUGGACAAUGGGGGCAACCCUGAUCCAGCCAUGCCGCGUGUGUGAAGAAGGCCUUCGGGUUGUAAAGCACUUUAAGCGAGGAGGAAGGUUUUUAGUUUAAUACACUAAAGAAUUGACGUUACUCGCAGAAUAAGCACCGGCUAACUCUGUG
This 473-nucleotide ribosomal RNA is filed under the name uncultured bacterium. RNAcentral's name for it is "bacterial SSU rRNA". It matches the Rfam family "Bacterial small subunit ribosomal RNA", at positions 30 to 507 of the family's 1533-position model. The record is from RNAcentral.